RNAcentral lists this long non-coding RNA (527 nucleotides) under Pan troglodytes (chimpanzee). RNAcentral's name for it is "long non-coding RNA NONPTRT013116". Lineage: Eukaryota; Metazoa; Chordata; Mammalia; Primates; Hominidae. The record is from RNAcentral.
GGAGACUGCAGUUUGCAGUGAUGUGGCUAAGAUACCCUUGUGCUAUUAAAGGCACAUUUACGUAUCUUUCAACGCAGUUUGUACCUUUGUUUAGGGUUCUAUUGAACUUUCUCUGUGCUCUUUAGAAAACCGUCGAAUAAAGGGAGGUCAUGGACCAAGUACAAAGCGGCAAAAGGAUGGAAUUAAGGUACCUGACAUUGUUGAACCCUUGCCUGAUGCCACAUUAGCUCAGGACUACCUACAUGGACAUGGAUAUUUCCAGUGAAAGAAAGAAGAAAGCAUGCUUUUCUCUUGACUGUGCAGAAAAAAAAUCUAUGUUUCUUUGAUUCUCCAUUUUACUAGAUGCCAUACCUUUGUAGUUACUUCAUGUGGAGUCUUGACCAAGAUUCAGGAAAUACUAGAACUUUCAGUCCCAGAAGGUUACUCUGGGCAUUACUAGUCCCCAUCAUUAUGAGUUGAGUUUUACUAGUUAAUUUCAGACGAAAAAUAUUUGUUUUUCCCCAAAUUCUGGGGUUACGUACUUUUAC